GUGCCAGCCGCCGCGGUAAUACAGAGAGUGCAAACGUUGUUCGGAAUUACUGGGCUUGAAGCGCUCGUAGGCGGCAUCGUAAGUGUCGGGUGAAAUCCCACGGCUCACCCGUGGAACUGCCCGGCAUACUGCGGUGCUAGAGUGUGGUAGGGGAGAGCGGAACUCCUGGUGGAGCGGUGAAAUGCGUAGAUAUCAGGAGGAACACCGGUGGCGAAGGCGGCUCUCUGGUCCACAACUGACGCUGAGGAGCGAAAGCUAGGGGAGCAAACGGGAUUAGAUACCCGCGUAGUCC
This 292-nucleotide ribosomal RNA is filed under the name uncultured bacterium. RNAcentral's name for it is "partial 16S ribosomal RNA". It matches the Rfam family "Bacterial small subunit ribosomal RNA", at positions 505 to 796 of the family's 1533-position model. The record is from RNAcentral.